AGAGUUUGAUCCUGGCUCAGGAUGAACGCUGGCGGCGUGCCUAACACAUGCAAGUUGAGCGAUUUACUUCGGUAAAGAGCGGCGGACGGGUGAGUAACGCGUGGGUAACCUGCCCUGUACACACGGAUAACAUACCGAAAGGUAUGCUAAUACGAGAUAAUAUGCUUUUAUCGCAUGGUAGAAGUAUCAAAGCUUUUGCGGUACAGGAUGGACCCGCGUCUGAUUAGCUAGUUGGUAAGGUAACGGCUUACCAAGGCGACGAUCAGUAGCCGACCUGAGAGGGUGAUCGGCCACAUUGGAACUGAGACACGGUCCAAACUCCUACGGGAGGCAGCAGUGGGGAAUAUUGCACAAUGGGCGAAAGCCUGAUGCAGCAACGCCGCGUGAGCGAUGAAGGCCUUCGGGUCGUAAAGCUCUGUCCUCAAGGAAGAUAAUGACGGUACUUGAGGAGGAAGCCCCGG
This 461-nucleotide ribosomal RNA is filed under the name uncultured bacterium. RNAcentral's name for it is "bacterial SSU rRNA". It matches the Rfam family "Bacterial small subunit ribosomal RNA", at positions 8 to 496 of the family's 1533-position model. The record is from RNAcentral.